This 259-nucleotide ribosomal RNA is filed under the name uncultured bacterium. RNAcentral describes it as "partial 16S ribosomal RNA". It matches the Rfam family "Bacterial small subunit ribosomal RNA", at positions 96 to 353 of the family's 1533-position model. The record is from RNAcentral.
CGGCGGACGGGUGAGUAACGCGUGGGUAACCUGCCUCAUACAGGGGGAUAACAGUUGGAAACGGCUGCUAAUACCGCAUAAGCGCACAGUACCGCAUGGUACCGUGUGAAAAACUCCGGUGGUAUGAGAUGGACCCGCGUCUGAUUAGCUAGUUGGUGGGGUAACGGCCUACCAAGGCGGCGAUCAGUAGCCGACCUGAGAGGGUGACCGGCCACAUUGGGACUGAGACACGGCCCAAACUCCUACGGGAGGCAGCAUG